GCAAAACUGGAAAAGUUGGGAACUCUGUCUUAAAGCACCUAAAGACUGAAGGAUUGUCAUACCAAAUAGCAACCCUACUAAUUUGGUCUGGAAGCAGCUUACGAAAUCAACUCUGGAUUGCUUUUUCGAGUAAACCUGUUUCAAGUUCACAAUCAUGAUUUGAGGUUCCUGCUUAUAAUAUGAGAAGCUGAAAUGUCAAAGUUGCCUCUCUGAUGUCCAGAACCAUACAAGAUUAACAGGGUUGGACUAGAUGACCUCCAGAUCCCUUCCAGCCCUGGAUUAUCCUCUGAAGCUGCGUCUAGUGCCAGUAUAUCCAGGGGAAGGGCCUUCUCUGUGGGGGCUCCCACCCUCUAGAAUGAACUUACCCCAGGACUCCGUCAACUGCCUGACCUUCGGACCUUUCGCCGCGAGCUGAAGACGUA
Long non-coding RNA from Ahaetulla prasina, 422 nucleotides. RefSeq lists it as uncharacterized. The record is from RefSeq and is a predicted model, not a curated record. The transcript has 4 exons. NCBI's taxonomy places the organism in Eukaryota, Metazoa, Chordata, Lepidosauria, Squamata, Colubridae.